GCGCGGAAAGAUGGCCCUGCCCUCAAGGAGCUGCAGUCUGCCCAGGAAGGCAGACAGAUAAAUUGCUAUAGUUUUCCACUAUUGAGCUGAAAUUUCACAUCACAAUCAAAAGUUACCUACCUACAACUCCCCAGUAGAGAAAAUUUAACUUUUGGCUUUAAAAAAGGGACAGAAAAGCAGGCAGAUCUGCAAGUAAGCAAACUACAGUUCCCCGCAGAAGACACAGAGGCAGUGAGUAAGGGGAACAGACCCAUGGCUCCACUGAAGACACAGAGCAGCAGAUGAGAAAGACACAUCCUAAAUGUUAAAGAAUGUGACAGAAUGAUACCAGGUGACUUCUAAGUCCACGUCAUACAAAGCAACGCAGCUUCUGCUGGGCUCUCCUUCUCUGGACAUGUAUCUUUGAAGCCCUGAGUCCGGCUUGCCUUAGCCCACCAGGGAUGGAGAAAUGCUACAGAAGCCCUAGCUAUUCUAGUCCCCAGCCAUCUGAGUCUUCCUAGCCCAGACUCGUAAGUGAAGAAGCCUUCAAGAUGAUUCAAAUACCACCUGUCACUUGACUACAACCUCGGAAAGCCCAAGUCAGAGCGGCACAGUGGAGCCAUUCCUAAAUUCUUGUCCCACAGAAACUGUGAAAGAUAAUAAAUGAUCAUCAUUGUUUUA
This is a long non-coding RNA of Mandrillus leucophaeus (drill), 660 nucleotides long. RefSeq lists it as uncharacterized. The transcript is spliced from 4 exons. Lineage: Eukaryota; Metazoa; Chordata; Mammalia; Primates; Cercopithecidae. The record is from RefSeq and is a predicted model, not a curated record.